Molecule: RNA transcript, 904 nt
Organism: Mus pahari (shrew mouse)
Lineage: Eukaryota; Metazoa; Chordata; Mammalia; Rodentia; Muridae
Gene name: voltage-dependent anion-selective channel protein 2 pseudogene
Exons: 1
Source: RefSeq, a predicted model, not a curated record
AUGGCUAAGUGUUGUGUACCAGUAUGCCCACGGCCGAUGUGUAUCCCUCCACCGUAUGCUGACCUCGGCAAAGCUGCCAGAGACAUUUUCAACAAAGGAUUUGGCUUUGGGUUGGUGAAGCUGGAUGUGAAGACGAAGUCAUGCAGUGGUGUGGAAUUUUCAACAUCUGGCUCAUCUAAUACAGACACUGGUAAAGUUAGUGGGACCUUGGAGACCAAGUACAAAUGGUGUGAGUAUGGUCUGACUUUCACAGAGAAAUAGAACACCGAUAACACUCUGGGGACAGAGAUCGCAAUUGAAGACCAGAUUUGUCAAGGUUUGAAACUGACUUUUGACACCACCUUUUCACCGAACACAGGAAAGAAAAGUGGUAAAAUCAAGUCUGCUUACAAGAGGGAAUGUAUAAACCCUGGCUGUGAUGUUGACUUUCAUUUUGCUGGACCUGCCAUCCAUGGGUCAGCUGUCUUUGGUUACGAGGGCUGGCUUGCUGGGUACCAAAUGACCUUUGUUUGACAGUGCCAAGUCAAAGCUGACAAGGAGUAACUUUGCAGUCAGCUACAGGACUGGAGACUUCUAGCUACACACAAAUGUAAAUAAUGGGACAGAAUUUGGAGGAUCAAUUUAUCAGAAAGUAUGUGAAGAUUUUGACACUUCAGUAAACCUUGCUUGGACAUCAGGUACCAACUGCACUCAUUUUGGCAUUGCAGCUAAAUACCAGUUGGAUCCCACCGCUUCUAUUUCUGCAAAGGUCAACAACUCUAGUUUAAUUGGCCUCAGUCUCUGAGGCCUGGUGUGAAGCUUACACUAUCUGCCCUGGUAGACGGGAAGAGCUUUAAUGCUGGAGGCCACAAACUUGGGCUUGCCUUGGAGUUGGAGGCUUAAUCCAGUUAAAAGAGACCUCUGG